This 95-nucleotide non-coding RNA is filed under the name Pasteurella bettyae. RNAcentral describes it as "TPP sequence". It matches the Rfam family "TPP riboswitch aptamer (THI element)". From Rfam's summary of the family: Vitamin B(1) in its active form thiamin pyrophosphate (TPP) is an essential coenzyme that is synthesised by coupling of pyrimidine and thiazole moieties in bacteria. The previously detected thiamin-regulatory element, thi box was extended, resulting in a new, highly conserved RNA secondary structure, the THI element, which is widely distributed in eubacteria and also occurs in some archaea. The record is from RNAcentral. Lineage: Bacteria; Pseudomonadati; Pseudomonadota; Gammaproteobacteria; Pasteurellales; Pasteurellaceae. RNAcentral also lists the same sequence under 1 other name.
UUACAUUAGUCGGGGUGCUACGUUUCAGUAGCUGAGAUAACACCCGUGAACCUGAUACAGCUAAUACUGGCGUAGGAAACUAAUUGUAAAAGAUU